CCCAAGGUCUGUGCAGUCUGUGAAUUUGGCUCCCCUAGCUUCAACCUCUGAGCGGAUCCCCUGGUGGUACUUCUGCAGGAGCUCCACAGAUGAGACAUCCCUAAUGCAGAGGAGGAAGGGUUAUAAAGCGAUAACAGGCCAUCAGGUCUCGAACCAUGGUGAAGAAGCGGAACUUCUCAGCUGUGUCCACCAGUCUCGCCCUGCGGCCGUCGCAGGCUUCCAGCAGACCCUUCCAGGCUUCCACCACCUCUCGCUCUGUGGCCUGGAUGGCGUCUGCCCUUUCCCCUGCGUACUGGGCAUGAAGCCUUGAAGCUGUCUCCUGGAACUGUUGAACCUGGAGGAAGAAGAAGUAGGAGUUAAAUCAAUGAGCAGGUCAUAAGAGGCUGUGAGUAGCUGAGCACGAGUGUCGAUGAGCUCCAGCAGAUCGGCCCAGCUGUCAUUGAUGCUGUCCUUCCACUCUGCCAGGGUGGCAGCCUCGCUGUGGCCGGCUUCAAUCAGCUCAUCAAUCGUCUGGUUGACCAUGUCCACUCGCUCUUGUCCCACCAUCCCUGUCUCCCGUGCAAACUCUCUAAAUUUAUCCCUCAGAAGCUGGAGGAAAAAGUAAAAAUAUGUUUUAAAAGCAAAAACAGGUCCUGGCCCAUCUCCUGAGAGGAGGCCACCACGUCCCUCUCUGCGAUCCAGUGCUCCAGGUCCUCCACUUCGCGGCUGAGCAGGAAAUGGUGACAUCUGCGGCCACUUCCCUGAGUUAAUCAGCCUGCUUCCAUGUCUCUCACGCACGGUUCUGUUCCUGCCCCUCACCUUGGCCUUUUCAUCAGCGAUCAUGUAAAGCUCCUGCUCUCCGAUCCAGGCCUCGGCUUCGUCCGCG
This is a long non-coding RNA of Lates calcarifer (barramundi perch), 865 nucleotides long. RefSeq lists it as uncharacterized. Lineage: Eukaryota; Metazoa; Chordata; Actinopteri; Centropomidae. The record is from RefSeq and is a predicted model, not a curated record. The transcript has 5 exons.